RNAcentral lists this ribosomal RNA (841 nucleotides) under uncultured archaeon. RNAcentral's name for it is "bacterial SSU rRNA". It matches the Rfam family "Archaeal small subunit ribosomal RNA", at positions 506 to 1353 of the family's 1478-position model. The record is from RNAcentral.
UUGCCUAAAGCAACCGUAGCUGGCUAAGUUAGUCCCCUGUUAAAUCCAACGAAUUAAUCGUUGGAUCGCGGGGGAUACUGCUUGGCUAGGGGACGAGAGAGGCAGACGGUAUUUCCGGGGUAGGGGUGAAAUCCUAUAAUCCCGGGAAGACCACCAGUGGCGAAGGCUGUCUGCUAGAACGCGCCCGACGGUGAGGGAUGAAAGCUGGGGGAGCGAACCGGAUUAGAUACCCGGGUAGUCCCAGCUGUAAACGAUGCAGGCUAGGUGUUUGGACGGCCACGUGCCGUUCUAGUGCCGCAGGGAAGCUGUUAAGCCUGCCGCCUGGGGAGUACGAUCGCAAGAUUGAAACUUAAAGGAAUUGGCGGGGGAGCACCACAAGGGGUGAAGCUUGCGGUUUAAUUGGAGUCAACGCCGGAAACCUCACCGGGAGCGACAGCAGUGUGAAGGCCAGAUUAAAGGUCUUGCCAGACGAGCUGAGAGGAGGUGCAUGGCCGUCGCCAGUUCGUGCCGUGAGGUGUCCUGUUAAGUCAGGCAACGAUCGAGACCCGCGUCCUCUGUUGCUACUAGCCUUGUGCUGGGCACACUGAGGAGACCGCCACUGAUAAAGUGGAGGAAGGAGCGGGCCACGGCAGGUCAGUAUGCCCCGAAUCUCCCGGGCCACACGCGAGCUGCAAUGGCAGGUACAAUGAGUUCCGACCUCGAAAGGGGGAGGCAAUCUCGAAAGCCUGCCGUAGUUGGGAUCGAAAGGCUGCAACCCGCCUUCGUGAACAUGGAAUCCCUAGUAAUCGCGUGUCAUCAGCGCGCGGUGAAUACGUCCCUGCUCCUUGUACACACCCCCCGU